CACGUAGGGUGCGAGCGUUGUCCGGAAUUACUGGGCGUAAAGAGCUCGUAGGUGGUUUGUCGCGUUGUCCGUGAAAACUCACAGCUUAACUGUGGGCGUGCGGGCGAUACGGGCAGACUGGAGUACUGCAGGGGAGACUGGAAUUCCUGGUGUAGCGGUGGAAUGCGCAGAUAUCAGGAGGAACACCGGUGGCGAAGGCGGGUCUCUGGGCAGUAACUGACGCUGAGGAGCGAAAGCGUGGGGAGCGAACAGG
RNAcentral lists this ribosomal RNA (253 nucleotides) under uncultured bacterium. RNAcentral's name for it is "partial 16S ribosomal RNA". It matches the Rfam family "Bacterial small subunit ribosomal RNA", at positions 524 to 776 of the family's 1533-position model. The record is from RNAcentral.